AUUCAGCCCAAGCGGGGAAGGAUGAGAAGCUUCGACUAAGGUUCGACUCGAGCGCCAGCGAGAGAGCGUUGCCGCAGGCAACGACCCGAAGGGCGAAGCGCGCAGCGCUGAGUAAUCCUUCCCCCACCACCA
Molecule: small RNA, 132 nt
Filed under: Escherichia coli
Lineage: Bacteria; Pseudomonadati; Pseudomonadota; Gammaproteobacteria; Enterobacterales; Enterobacteriaceae
Description: RtT sRNA
Rfam family: RtT RNA
About the family: This family represents a bacterial cis-regulatory element known as RtT RNA. The exact function of RtT is unknown although it is thought that it may be involved in changing the cellular response in relation to amino acid starvation.
Source: RNAcentral